Molecule: ribosomal RNA, 406 nt
Filed under: uncultured bacterium
Lineage: Bacteria
Description: partial 16S ribosomal RNA
Rfam family: Bacterial small subunit ribosomal RNA
Source: RNAcentral
AUUGAACGCUGGCGGCAGGCCUAACACAUGCAAGUCGAACGAGUGGCGGACGGGUGAGUAAUGUAUGGGAAACUGCCUGAUGGAGGGGGAUAAAUACUGGAAACGGUAGCUAAUACCGCAUACCAUCGGAUGAGCCCAGAUGGGAUUAGCUAGUAGGUGGGGUAAAGGCUCACCUAGGCGACGAUCCCUAGCUGGUCUGAGAGGAUGACCAGCCACACUGGAACGGAGCCACGGCCCAGACUCCGACGGGAGGCAGCAGUGGGGAAUAUUGCACAAUGGGCGCAAGCCUGAGGCAGCCAGGCCGCGUGUAUGAAGAAGGCCUUCGGGUUGUAAAGUACUUUCAGCGGGGAGGCGUUACCCGCAGAAGAAGCACCGGCUAACUCCGUGCCAGCAGCCGCGGUAAUAC